ACGCUAGCGGGCGGCCUAACACAUGCAAGCCGAGCGGUAGAGAUUCUUCGGAAUCUUGAGAGCGGCGCACGGGUGCGGAACACGUGUGCAACCUGCCUUUAUCUGGGGGAUAGCCUUUCGAAAGGAAGAUUAAUACCCCAUAAUAUAAUGAACGGCAUCGUUUAUUAUUGAAAACUCCGGUGGAUAGAGAUGGGCACGCGCAAGAUUAGAUAGUUGGUGAGGUAACGGCUCACCAAGUCAAUGAUCUUUAGGGGGCCUGAGAGGGUGAUCCCCCACACUGGUACUGAGACACGGACCAGACUCCUACGGGAGGCAGCAGUGAGGAAUAUUGGACAAUGGGUGAGAGCCUGAUCCAGCCAUCCCGCGUGAAGGACGACGGCCCUAUGGGUUGUAAACUUCUUUUAUACUGGGAUAAACCUACUCUCGUGAGGGUAGCUGAAGGUACAGUAUGAAUAAGCACCGGCUAACUCCGUGCCAGCAGCCGCGGUAAUACGGAGGGUGCAAGCGUUAUCCGGAUUUAUUGGGUUUAAAGGGUCCGUAGGCGGACUCGUAAGUCAGUGGUGAAAUCUCAUAGCUUAACUAUGAAACUGCCAUUGAUACUGCGAGUCUUGAGUAAAGUAGAAGUGGCUGGAAUAAGUAGUGUAGCGGUGAAAUGCGUAGAUAUAGGAAGGAACACCAGUGGCGAAGGCGACCACCUGGACUGAUACUGACACUGAGGUGCGAAAGCGUGGGGAGCAAAC
Molecule: ribosomal RNA, 740 nt
Filed under: uncultured bacterium
Lineage: Bacteria
Description: bacterial SSU rRNA
Rfam family: Bacterial small subunit ribosomal RNA
Source: RNAcentral